RNAcentral lists this ribosomal RNA (253 nucleotides) under uncultured bacterium. RNAcentral describes it as "partial 16S ribosomal RNA". It matches the Rfam family "Bacterial small subunit ribosomal RNA", at positions 524 to 776 of the family's 1533-position model. The record is from RNAcentral.
UACGUAGGGAGCAAGCGUUGUCCGGAAUCAUUGGGCGUAAAGCGCGUGUAGGCGGUCCGGUAAGUCCGCUGUGAAAGUCGGGGGCUCAACCCUCGAAUGCCGGUGGAUACUGUCGGGCUAGAGUGCGGAAGAGGCGAGUGGAAUUCCUGGUGUAGCGGUGGAAUGCGCAGAUAUCAGGAGGAACACCAAUAGCGAAGGCAGCUCGCUGGGACGGUAUUGACGCUAAGGCGCGAAAGCGUGGGGAGCGAACAGG